Molecule: ribosomal RNA, 237 nt
Filed under: uncultured bacterium
Lineage: Bacteria
Description: partial 16S ribosomal RNA
Rfam family: Bacterial small subunit ribosomal RNA
Source: RNAcentral
GAUCAUGGCUCAGGACGAACGCUGGCGGCGUGCCUAAUACAUGCAAGUAGAACGCUGAAGGAGGAGCUUGCUUCUCCGGAUGAGUUGCGAACGGGUGAGUAACGCGUAGGUAACCCGCCUGGUAGUGGGGGAUAACUAUUGGAAACGAUAGCUAAUACCGCAUAAUAGCAGUUGUUGCAUGACAACUGUUUGAAAGGUGCAAUUGCACCACUACCAGAUGGACCUGCGUUGUAUUAG